GCUGGGGUAAAGGGGAGUUUGGACUCCCUGAGCCUUCAGCCGGGCUGCUUCUGGUGAAAAGGCAUUGCCCUGGGGUCACAGAUUGAAACGUAGAGGCAGGAGUUGAGGCAGGAUUGGGGCCAUAACCUGGGCUUCACUUCCACCAAGAAAGAAUGCGUGCACGUGGAGGAAAUGAAAAUCUAAAUCCCAAACAGCUGCUGUUUCACACCCACCAGGGCAGAGUUAAAAAGGCAGAAAACAACAAAGGUUGCCCAGCCGUGGUUGGCUGGUGAGAGGGAGAGUGCGUGCCCCCCAGCACUGAGGACAGCGUGGGAGCUUGUGAGAGUCACAUCCGGAAUUGCUACAGGAUCCAGCAAGUCCGCUCCUGGGCGUCUGCCCUGGAGAACAGAAUACAGGGGUCAGACAAAACCCUGGGCACAGAUUUCCCUGCAGCAUUAGCUGCAAUAGCUGAAAAGUGAAACAAACUAAAUGUCUACAAACAGAUAAGCAGAUACACAAAACAUGGCCUAGCCACGCAAUGAAAUAUCCAGCCAUAAGCGGCCAGAGGACUGAGUCCCGAGGCGCGACACGUGGGAACCUCGAAAGCAGCGUGCUCGGUGCAAGAAGCCAGGCUCCAAGGCCAGAGUGUGUGAUUUCACUUCUCAGAAAGGAACAGAUAGGUAAACCCACAAAGCUGGGAGGUGGACGGGGGUCGGGAGUGUGGCCUGUCUGCUGAUAGGUACAGGAUUUCUUUUAGGGCUGGUAGAAAUGUUGCCAAACCCAUCGUGGUGAUGGCUGAGAGGUGUGAUACGGAAGAAGCACAGGUAGGCAGGAAGAAGACAAGGAAACUGUAAUUCCGAGCCCUGACCAAGGGACCCGUGCAUAUGCUCCCCAUCUUUACACCCCAGGCUUGUUAUUUCUUCCAGGUCCACGGCACUUGAAUCCCUUAAAGAUACCCUAAAUCCAUAAGCAAAUUGAGCUGAUAAGGUAAAGGGCAGAAACCUGACCUUCAGAUGUAAAAAGAUUCAAGGCGUUCAGAGAUUUUAGGGAAAACACCUUAGAUUCUCCGUCUUAAAGGUACCUCCAAGACCACAGGUCUAUCUCCAGCCCAGGGCCUAAGGGUCCCUCUUGAGGCCACCGCUCCUGGUGGUGGGCAGUGCCCAAGCAUUUCCAAAAGCAAUCUGGCACUUAGUAUCAAGAAUGUCAGCUGGGCUGCAUGCGCAUCUCGGUGGGAGAGCAUUUGCCUAGCGUGCUCAAGGCCCAGGUUUGAGUUCUCCACACUGCAAAAUUAAAAAAAUAAUGACAAGAAAGAAAGAAUGCCAGAAAAGCUGGGUGGCACAUGCCUUUAAUCCCAGUGUGGGGAGCAGAGAGAGGGCCCCACCCUAAUCUGAGUCUGUGAUUCUGUCACCUUACGUGGCAAAGGGCUUGGGGUGUGGUUAGGAAGGAGUUGGGAGAUUCUCCUGGGUCACCUGGGAAACCUGCCUGACUCUGCCUGGGAGACAACACAGCUUCGCCUGCAGUUCCCCACAGGCCCCGGCCGGGUCGCAGCGAAGUUCAAGGUCAGUCUGAAGCAGCAGUCCCUCCUGGAGAAAUGUCUUUACCUGUUCCUCAGACUGGUACAAAACAAGAAACGAGAUCAUCUUUGUCAGGAGGUUGUCACAGUCCUUGCAUUUAUUAAGUGCUCCAUGAUAACUGGCCAAUCGUUAAAACUUUUCUUUACAGGAAUUGUAGUUAAACCAGGCAUAGGGUGAGGCCUGCCUAUGAUCCCAGCUGGAAGCUGAGUCAGGAGGGUUGCAAGGACAACUCCAAGGCCAGCCUGGGGAAUUUAACAAGAUCCUGUCUCAAAAUAAAAAGGGCUGGGGAUGCAGCUCAGUGGUAGAGCACUUGCCGAGUAUGCGGGAGGCCUUGGGUUUGUCCCCCAGCACUGAGAAGGAAUUUUAUUUACAUUAUGUAUUGUUCAAUCAAGAAAGAAUACAGAUUACAUCCAUAUACCAUCUACAUAGAAAUGCUAGGAAGAGAGAAAAUUAUAUAUAUGGCUUUUCCCCAUGAGUGAUAUUUGUUCUAUCUAAAUUUUUCAUGUAUUUUCUGAGGGAUGUUUUACUUUUACUCAUAAAAAAAAAUCCAUUUGCAACCCAGCGCUCCGGGCAGCUGAGGCAGCAGGGUCGCCAAGUUUGAGGCCAGCCUGGGCAAUUCAGCAGACCCUGUCUCCAAAUCAAAUAUUUUUUAAAGUUCUGGGAAUUUGGCUCAGUAUUAAGGCACCUCUGGUUCCAUUCCCCAGUCCCACAAAAAACCGAAGUGUUUUUCAAAUAAGGCCCCUUCCCCACCACCACUACCAUCACCCCGCCCCUCCAGUGCCCUCGGAGCUUCCUCCCCAGGUGGGCCCAAGCCCCGCUGCUUCCUGCCAGCCCUGCCCCUCAGCUCUGCCCCACCCAGCUCCCCUGUCCCUGGGGUCUGGAUUCACCGCGUGGGCCAAAGCUCGAGGCUUGCUGGUACCGGAAGAGUCAGCCUGUGGCUCCCCAGCCCUACCCCCGACUGAGCAGGCUUCAGCCAGGGGCUUCCCAGAGGGCGCGGCUAGAGGAUCCCAAGCUUGAGCCCACUCUGGGCAAUUUAGUUACUUAGCGAGAUCUUGUCUCAAAAUAAAACAAUUUUUAAAAGGGCCAGAGAUGCAGGUCAGCAUGAAGGCCCUGAGUUCAACCCUUGAUAGAAAAAGAAAGGGAAAGGAGGAAAGAGGAAGGGAGGAAGGGAGAGAGCAAGCUUGCUUUAUGUAAACAUUUCAAAACUAUGAAAGGCGGGGAAAGGGAAAAGAACCCGGCCUUCUCCAGGCCCACAUUCAAGGUUGCCCCUGGGGCACUUUCCCAGCUUGAAAAGCCGGAAACAGACCCACAGCCCCCACGCC
Molecule: long non-coding RNA, 2875 nt
Organism: Heterocephalus glaber (naked mole-rat)
Lineage: Eukaryota; Metazoa; Chordata; Mammalia; Rodentia; Bathyergidae
Source: Ensembl